AGCCUCCUGGUGCUUAUCACAGGUUGUUAUUACACUGACUGUAUAAAGAGAAGGGAAAGUAAACCUAACCCCAUAUAUACCUCAGCUCAGGACCUGUGCCUGAUCUGAAUUGUGAAUGGGAAGGCAUGG
This 129-nucleotide small nucleolar RNA is filed under the name Castor canadensis (American beaver). RNAcentral describes it as "Small nucleolar RNA SNORA51 (ENSCCNG00000029389.1)". It matches the Rfam family "Small nucleolar RNA SNORA51". Rfam says of the family: ACA51 is a member of the H/ACA class of snoRNA that guide the sites of modification of uridines to pseudouridines. The record is from Rfam by way of RNAcentral. Lineage: Eukaryota; Metazoa; Chordata; Mammalia; Rodentia; Castoridae.